This 464-nucleotide ribosomal RNA is filed under the name uncultured Klebsiella sp. RNAcentral's name for it is "bacterial SSU rRNA". It matches the Rfam family "Bacterial small subunit ribosomal RNA", at positions 339 to 795 of the family's 1533-position model. Lineage: Bacteria; Pseudomonadati; Pseudomonadota; Gammaproteobacteria; Enterobacterales; Enterobacteriaceae. The record is from RNAcentral.
CUACGGGUGGCUGCAGUGGGGAAUAUUGCACAAUGGGCGCAAGCCUGAUGCAGCCAUGCCGCGUGUGUGAAGAAGGCCUUCGGGUUGUAAAGCACUUUCAGCGGGGAGGAAGGCGUUAAGGUUAAUAACCUUGUCGAUUGACGUUACCCGCAGAAGAAGCACCGGCUAACUCCGUGCCAGCAGCCGCGGUAAUACGGAGGGUGCAAGCGUUAAUCGGAAUUACUGGGCGUAAAGCGCACGCAGGCGGUCUGUCAAGUCGGAUGUGAAAUCCCCGGGCUCGACCUGGGAACUGCAUUCGAAACUGGCAGGCUAGGGUCUUGGUGAGGGGGGUAGAAUUCCAGGUGUAGCGGUGAAAUGCGUAGAGAUCUGGAGGAAUACCGGUGGCGAAGGCGGCCCCCUGGACAAAGACUGACGCUCAGGUGCGAAAGCGUGGGGAGCAAACAGGAUUAGAUACCCUAGUAGUC